CUUUCUGGCAGCUUUCUGGGCUGCCCCUUCCUUGGAACGGCGCAGGAGGAAUGUUGUGCCAGAAUAUCUGAGGGUGUUUGCAAACAUGGCUCUGGGAAGACGAGAUACAGGUGGAGGGGAUGUUUCUUUGCUGAUUCUUAAAGGAUCUAAGUCCAUAGAUGUCAUGGUUUGGAGGCAAGACUGUGGAUGGAUGGGGGGAGCUAGCAUAUCCCUCCCCUCAUACUUCAUAGCAAUAGUUGGGAAAUCUUGGUGCUAUGUGGUGAUGGUUGUGGUAGUGUUUGUGGUGCAGGCAGGGGGUUUUGUUCACUGACAUGCGUAGACUGUGGGGUUAGCUCCAGCUGUGUGUUCGAAGGAGAGGAAAGUUUAGACUACCAUCAUCUUUUGACUGGACUAGCCUCCUAACUAGCUUUCUUGCCUCAGUGGCACUGAAACCUGCUCUGCUGGCUCCCAAGAGUUAACUGUGCACGUGUCUUCCUAACUCGGCAUUCAGUGACAUCAAACUGCUGCAGUCGUGGAGGCCGCGUGUGGAGACAGCAGAACCACAAGACCGAGUCACCUGGUUGCUGAGUCAGCACAUGAGGACAGCUGUCUUCAGAGAGUAGCCUGAUCGUCUGUGCAUGAGAGGGAAAUAAACAUUUGUUCUGUUUAGCCACUGAGCUUCAAGACAGUUUUGUUACUGCAAAAUAACCUAGCCCAGCGGUUCCCAAACAUUUGGGUCUCAGCAUUCCUUUAAACUCUUAAAAGUUAUUGAUGAUCCCAAAGAGCUUUUGUUUAUGUGGAUUAUAUCUACCAAUAUUUCCAUGUCAGAGAUUAAAAGUGAGAAAUUUUUAAAAUGUGUGUAUAUUAAUUCAUUUUAAAAUAACAAUUAUUAAACCAUUACAUGUUAACAUAAAUAACGUAUUUUUAUGAAAAACAGCUAGUUUCCAAAACAAACUAGUGAGAAUGACAGUUUUACAUUUUUGCAAAUCUCUGGAUUAAUUGAAGACAGCUGGAUUCUCAUCUCUGCUCCUGCAGUUAAUCAGUUUCAAUCUGUUUUGUUGCUGUUUUUGAGGUAUUUGAAGAAAAUCUGGCCUCACACAGAUAAUGUAGUUAAUAAUCUAGGGGUGUAUUUUAAUAGCUUUUGUUGAUGAUGGUGCAUAAUCUUUUUGUAUACUACAUCAAAACUUGACAAGUGGUAGUUUCUUAUAAGUUAAUUACGAUAUGGAAUCUGAAACCAUAUCAAUGGACUUUUC
This 1232-nucleotide long non-coding RNA is filed under the name Equus caballus (horse). RNAcentral's name for it is "lncRNA (ENSECAG00000057590.1)". The record is from RNAcentral. Lineage: Eukaryota; Metazoa; Chordata; Mammalia; Perissodactyla; Equidae.